Molecule: non-coding RNA, 4775 nt
Organism: Callithrix jacchus (white-tufted-ear marmoset)
Lineage: Eukaryota; Metazoa; Chordata; Mammalia; Primates; Cebidae
Source: RefSeq, a predicted model, not a curated record
UCCAGCACCAAAUAGUGGGAAGGGGCCCAGCCCUCCAGCUCCCCAAACUUCACGUACCACCACCCGCUCUCCUGCUUCUCCAGCACCUGCACCUCCACGCCCGCGGGGAAGCUGAUCUCCGAGUCCUGGACCUUCUGGAGUGCCACGGAUGCCUGCAUCUGAAGCAGAGCGGGGCUUCAGGUCACCACUGGUUUUGGACAAUGAAGAAGAGGAGGAGGAAGAGGAGGAGCAGCAGGUGGUAUUGAUGGUGAUGGAGGAGGAAAAGGAGGCUGAGGAGUGGUUCUUCCCCAGUUCUGCCUUCGAAUUCUUCUCUGCCUUGAGCUUUAGGAGUGACGAUGACUUGGGGGAGCCUGAUUUGGGGCCACGUCUUCUGAAGACUCGCCCACUUUGAAGCGGGCCCGCUGCAGAGAAGAGGCCGGCGAUGGCCGGCAGGGCUGGGCAGGCCGCCUGUCCCCUGAGGCUCUGUCCUCCACGGGCUCUUCACUCAGCUCGGGCUCUGAGUCAAAGCCAAAUGCAGGGAUGUCAUACUCAGGCUCCUCGUACUUGAGCUUCCGCGGGGAGUCCUGGCCCUCACUGGCCCCUGGUGGGCCCUCCUCGGCCUCCCUGGGCUUGCUGGGCGGUGCUGGCGGGGGCACCUUGGGCCGGGUCAGCGUGCUUGUACGGCGGCUCAGGUUGGGCUUCUUGCGCUUAUCGAUGUAUGAUGCGGGGGCCCAGCCCUCCUUCUCACCGAUCUGCACAUACCACCAGCCACCUGAGUUCUUAUCAAUGACCUGGGGGAUGAGUGCAGAUGAGCCAGUGAGUUGAGAGGAUCUGGGACCCUGUGACAUACCAAAGUAGGAGUGUCAUACUUUGGCUUGGAGAUACAUUAUCUCCAUUUUACAAAUAAUAAACUGAGCCACCGAGUAAGUGGCCAAAGACCCAACAUAGUAAGUAAUGCACCAGAAUUCAAACCUAGGUCUUCAGCAUCUCACGGUUGGUGGGUUCCCUUUGCAAAGUUACCUCCCUGGUCCUCCACAUCUGUGUUAACACCCGGGUUGAGGUGGCCACUCCUUCCACUAAACUGCACUGUUCCCAGUCCCCAUGAUGCUGCCAGUAGACUCACUAAGGACACGUAUGAAUAAAACACUGCCCUUCUGUUGCCCCUUCCCUCCCUGUACCCUUGAUGUUGCUAGGUCCUUCCUGGGAGGCCCUUGGAAGGGUCUCCAGGGUCAGAAGAGAAUGGGAAGAUGAAGUGAUUGGGAGGUAGAGACCCGACGCCAGGGCCCCUCUGCAGAGCCUCUUCCCAGUGUCCACCACCUGUGGCCAUUUUACUGGAAUCCCACUGAAAUCCCGCUAGCUGAAGAGAUUUCCAUGGGUUGAAUGGUUUCCUGUAGGAAGUGUAGGGGACUUUCAGUAAUUUCCAUGUUAGUAUAAACUGCUUUAAGGGGCUUCUUCCUUAACUUUUGAGAUCAACCAAUGGCCAAGAGUGUGGCUGCUGGUUGUGCUGGGGUCCAUUUGGACUGGGGAGCAUGAAGGGCAGGCAAUUGGGGAUUGUGGGACACUCCUGGAGGGAGAGAUCCUGGGGUGGGGAGGGGUAGUGUGAAAACACUGGCACCAUGGGAAGAGGCCAAGGACGGAGGGAAGGAUGAAGAACGCAAAGGCAAGAAGAGACCAGUCCUCUGUACCCCACCAAAAGAGAAAGAUUUUCUCCUUCUUUGGGUCCUUCAUUCUGUCCUUCACCCUGCCGCAGCCCUGGACCUACAGUGCAAGCACUCCUUGAACCUGACAGUUCUGCCACAUUAUGCUCUUUUCAGACUCUCCUGGAAAUCUCAGCACCGAGACGAUGAUUUUUCUUGGAAAUGUAGUUCCAAGUUCCAGGCAUGUUAUUUAAAACAUUCACAUUGGGAAUGUCACUGCUUUAGAGGUAGAGACUGCCCAGUGAAUCUGACAGUACAUCACUAGUUGGAGUUAACUCAAUUACUACACAAAACCACUGAGAGAAUUGACUGAGUUACAGUUCUUCUCUGCUGCUGGGAAUACCAUGCUCAGCACCAGCCACAAAAUACAGUGGCCUGAAUGUUGGAAGACGGGCUGGGAGGGCUUGUCCCAGGAUCUAUCACCUCGUUUGCAGAGGGAAAUGCUUAAAGUUGGGGGCGGGAGAAGUGACUGCAUCAAAGGCCAGGGUUCAUGUGGUAUGACUUGGCCAGAGCCCAGGCCCCAGUAUCUCAUUCCACCUGCCUGGUCCACAUCCUCCUGACCACAUUUCCUAUUGGGGCUCUGCAGGAUCCCGGCCCCGAGGUGUUCCUGGGAGAAAAACUUGUAGGGUAGUGCCUAUUCUAGUCCCCUUGUAGAUGACACUCCCAGUGACAUCCUUGUAUCGUAGGCUCUGGGAAGCCCUGCAAUUAAAACAACAAACGGGCUGGAUGUUGUUUAAUCCACUGUCCUAGAAGCUCAUUUGACCACAGAAGCCCUUUGUUUCGAGGCCCCCGUCACAAGCUCACGUACAUGCUCUGGGAAGUGUCGUUGUGAGACGAGCCCUGUGAGCUCAGGGUGGAGCAUGAGAGCUGGGAUCUAGUCCAGGCUGUGGCACUGGCUGGCGCCAGGGAGAUGCUCAUCCUUGUGCUCAUUUCUGCACCUUUCCUGGCUGCCCCUCAGGAGUCUUACUAGCUCGGCCUAAAUGGGAAAUGCAGUUCUGCCAUGAUGAGUUAAAACCCUUGGCCUCAUGGCCCGAGGCUUACCUCUGCCUUCUGUCCUCCCCGAAAGCUGAUGCCAUCGGAAAUGCACGACUGGAAUUCGGCAAUGGUGUAGUACUCCACCUCAACAGAAGGGGGCUCUGGUGGCUUUGGCAGUUGGAACCCCUAAGGUUGAAGAAGACACAGUGGGCAAAACCCACUCAAAUCAUAAGAGUAACAUGGCCAAGUAUUGGUCCCCCCCACCCCCCCACUCAGUCCCCAGGAGGAGCGGAUGGCCAUUUACACCAGCUGGACAGCAGCUAGCCUAAGUACAUAUCUAUCACUGGAGUCUCAGGGUAUACCCCCAGGGGACUGCUCUGAUGAGGCUUUCUCAUACUCGGGAUUCACGGGAGGCUUGUCUGAGCUAUCAGAAUGCUCACAUUACUAUUACUAUCAUCAGUAUCAUCAUCACUCUGUGACAGGAUCUUGCUUUGGGACGCAGGCUAGAGUGCAGUGGAGUAAUCAGAGCUCAUUGCAGCCUCCAUCUCCUGGGCUGAGUGAUUCUCCCACCUCAGCCUGCCCAGUAGCGGGACUAUAGGAACAUACCACCACACCGUUUUUUUUUGUGUGGUUUUUUUUUUUUUUUUUUUUAAAAGAUGGCCUCUCUCAGGAUCUGGAGGAAUUUGCUUUAAAAAAAAAAAAGAGAGAGAGAAACAAAAGUAGAGAUAGUGCUUUGCAAUGUUGCUUAGGCUAGUCUCAUACUCUUGGGCUCAAGCAGUCCUCCUGCCCCAGCCUUCCAAAGUGCUAGGAUUACAUCAUAAGCCACCGUGCCCAGCACAGAAUGCUCAUUUUUAAGAUAGUAAUUUCUAAUCUUACAUCUCUGGAGGUCAAGUUUUCAGAUGCCUCAAUAACUGAGUCACAAAAUGAAAAUUAAAAAGAGAAAUCUCCUGUAAUCCUAGUGCUUUUGGGAAGCCCAGGUGGGAGAACUGCUUGAGGCCAGGAGUUUGAGACCAGCCUGGUCAAACAGUGACACCCAUCUCUAAAAACAAAACAAACAAAAAAAUUAGGUGGGCAUGGUGCUAUGCACAUGUACUCCCAGCUACUUGGGAGGCUGAGGCGGGAAGAUAGGUUGAGCCUAGGAGCUCGAGGCUGCUGUGAGCCACCGUCAGACCACUGCACUCCAGCCUGAGUGACAGUGUCUCUGAAAUUUACAAAAAAAUAAAAUAAAAGGAGAGAAAUCAUUCUAAAAAAAAAGCCCUUGUACACUGUGCUGUGGGAGAGGAAGGAAAGCCACUGUCCUGAAGUCUAGGGGCGAGGGCUGCAGCUGGGACUUUGGCAGCACAGGCAGGGUGAUGGAGCACAAUGGUCUCUAGUCUGGGGUGAGUGUGUAACGAGGCAGUGCAGUUGGCUGAGCAAAGUCUUUAGCUGGUCAUCAUGACGAGGCCAGAUAGGCAGGCACUAAAUAAAACUCGCAAUAUUCUGUGGGCAGGGCAGAACCCACUGGAGAUACUCAAUGCUUUGCAGACACUGGCACAGCAGCAUCUAAGCAUGACAUUUAGGACAUUAAGCAUGACAUUCAAGGACAUUUAGAAGCUGGCCUUUGCCCAUGGUUUGUGAGCCUCACCCAUUCAUUUAACAACUGUGUGUUGUGCAUCUACUGGGUGCCAGACACUGGUCUAAGGCACUGAGCACCCACCAGGAAACCAAAUGGACAACCCCUUGUCCUUGUGUAUUGUACAUUUUUGCUUCAAUGGUCUUGUCUCUACUGAGCUAAAAUGGACUUUGUACCCUGCUAUUUAUGUCCUCCCUCAUGCAAAGGGAUUCAAAUAAAGCAAUUGGAAAAAAAAAAAAAAAAAAAAAGGUGGGAGGGACGAGGGGAUGAGAAGAAGCUUGGUGUAGCAGGAAGACCUGCAAAGACCUUAACCUUGGCUCUGGAUUCCAAUCCCAGCAGUUCACCAGCUGUGUGGCCCUGGGCAAAGCCCCUCAUCUCUCUGAACUUCAGUUCUCUCAUCUGUAAAAUGGAACUAAUACCAGCAUCAUGAAGAGGAUCCCUGAGAUAAUGUGCAACACUUUGGGCCUGGCCAGGGGCAGAGAGAGUUCUCAAUAAAUAGAAGCUGGAGCUCA